AGGAGUGUAGCUCAAUUGGCAGAGCGUCGGUCUCCAAAACCGAAGGCUGUGGGUUCGAUCCCCUCCACUCCUGCCA
Molecule: transfer RNA, 76 nt
Filed under: Candidatus Paracaedimonas acanthamoebae
Lineage: Bacteria; Pseudomonadati; Pseudomonadota; Alphaproteobacteria; Holosporales; Caedimonadaceae
Also listed under: 1 other name
Description: tRNA-Trp (CCA) (tRNA-Trp-CCA-1-1)
Rfam family: tRNA
About the family: Transfer RNA (tRNA) molecules are approximately 80 nucleotides in length.
Source: RNAcentral